CAUUCACAUUGUAUUUCAAUUCUUAAAAUCCAUCACAUGGAUUACCCCGAUCAAGGUUUUACUGAAUUGAAACACACUGAUACAUUAACUUCUAUUUAUUUGGAGGGGUCAAUUCUAUCUUGACUCACACACCGACUUCACAAGUACUUGACUGUGUCCAGAAAUCUUUCAUCACUGAAUUAGAAAUUCAGAUUGUCUAGCACC
RNAcentral lists this long non-coding RNA (204 nucleotides) under Elaeis guineensis (African oil palm). RNAcentral's name for it is "long non-coding RNA (EGUI_LNC044390)". The record is from RNAcentral. Lineage: Eukaryota; Viridiplantae; Streptophyta; Magnoliopsida; Arecales; Arecaceae.